This 450-nucleotide ribosomal RNA is filed under the name uncultured bacterium. Its description in RNAcentral is "partial 16S ribosomal RNA". It matches the Rfam family "Bacterial small subunit ribosomal RNA", at positions 354 to 796 of the family's 1533-position model. The record is from RNAcentral.
GUGGGGAAUAUUCCGCAAUGGACGAAAGUCUGACGGAGCAACGCCGCGUGAGUGAUGAAGGUUUUCGGACUGUAAAGCUCUGUUGUUUAGGACGAAAGUGCCUGUUGCAAAUAGUUACAGGUAUUGACGGUACUGAACGAGGAAGCCACGGCUAACUACGUGCCAGCAGCCGCGGUAAUACGUAGGUGGCAAGCGUUGUCCGGAAUUAUUUGGCGUAAAGAGCAUGUAGGCGGGAAUCUAAGUCUGUUGUGAAAAUGCGGGGCUCAACCCCGUAUUGCGAUGGAAACUGGGUUUCUUGAGUGCAGGAGAGGAAAGGGGAAUUCCCAGUGUAGCGGUGAAAUGCGUAGAUAUUGGGAGGAACACCAGUGGCGAAGGCGGCUUCCUGGCACAAUACUGACGCUCAUGUGCGAAAGCUAGGGCAGCGAACGGGAUUAGAUACCCGAGUAGUCC